RNAcentral lists this long non-coding RNA (7280 nucleotides) under Sus scrofa (pig). Its description in RNAcentral is "lncRNA (ENSSSCG00055006736.1)". The record is from RNAcentral. Lineage: Eukaryota; Metazoa; Chordata; Mammalia; Artiodactyla; Suidae.
AUAGUCAACAGGUGGAAGCAGCUCGUCUGUCCAUCAUCAGAUGAGUAGAUAAGCAAAAUGCGGUACAUCCAUGUAACAAAAGUGGGAUUGCUGGAUCAUAUGGCAACUCUAUUUUUAGUUUUUUGAGGACCCUCCAAGCUCUUUUCCUUAGUAGUUGCACCAAUUUAUGUAAUAUUUUCUCUUAAAAGAGGCAGUCAUGGGAGAAAAAAUGGUCUUUGCAAAAAAGGUAACACGCAGGACAGGUUAUCUUUUUUGUUUGUUUGUUUUAGAUCAGAGCCCGGACAGUGUCCAUGAUGGAGUGAAAUAUAAACAGCAAUGUAAAGAGUCUUGGGAGGAACUUUCUAAAUACCUAUUAAAGAGAUCGAGGACUGGAGUUUCCUGGUGGCUUAGUGGUUAAGGAUCCAGUGUUGUCACGGCUGUGGUGCAGGUUUGAUCCCUAGCCCAGGAACUUCCACAUGCUGCAGGCACAGCCUAUACACACACACACACACACACACACACACACACACACACACACACACAAAAUAGUCAGUGGGAAUGUGAUUGUUGUCAUGAAACAUCCUUGUCAUGUGAACUCACUCUUGGGCAGGAGUUAGAGCUGUGCACAGUGCAAACAUUUGUGGGCAUUUUUUUUUUUUUCUGUUAUGUCCAAGCAAGAAUCUAAGAUUGUUAUAUUCCCUAUUAAACCAAUUGACUCCUACCAAGCACAGCACUAUAUAACCUUUUAGCCGGAAUGUUUGUCAUCAUAGUAAUAUCAUAUAUAUCUUGUGACAAAUAUUUUUGAAUGAGGACUCAUUUUAAAAAGCAUUAACAUUCUUAUACCCACUUGUACCUAUUUAUAUUCAUAAUUUAAUUCGAAGGUAAGAUUCUCAUUAAAGGAAACCUCGAGAAUUCCCUAGGAAGUACUACAAGUCAUCCCAGAGGUGUUUUUGUUGUUAUUGUUAUUGCUUUAGGAGUUUAUGGGCUACUCUGAUUACUUAUCAGUUAGACAAAAGAGGAAUGUGACUUGUCAACAAAGUCACCUUUUCUCCUUUCCUACCUCAUACUGAUAAGUAAUCAGGUUCAUCUUUGGAAGGAAGAUCCUUAAGCGUUCUGGCCUCCAGCAGUUGAGGUGAAAUUUGGUGAAACUUAGAUUCAUGUCAUUGGAAUUUGCUUUAUUUCUAUCUCCUUGAAUUAUAUUUGCAAUAAAGCCUUUUAUUUUAGAUCUUUGGAUUUUGCACACCUUUGAGGAGGCCCUUCCUCCUGUCGCCCUGCCUCUCUAAUAAGCCCCGAAGAUCAAAUCGAGACCAUGAGAUUCUGAAAUCGGAAAGUUUCUGCCUUUUGCAGCUUUUUUGAUAGGAAUAAAAAUGACUGAUGGCUCUCUCUCCUGGACCCUUUUGUUCGAUUCAACUAUGAUUAUGGAGCCUAUUAGCUGGAGUUACAACCUAUUUAAGAGCAGUGCUUACCCGUAAUGGGGGCCAAAUGAUUUUGGAAAGUUCAGAUGUACUGGACUCCCUGCAGAAAUGAAUUCAGCCCUGAACAUAUUGAUGCAGAACCUGAAUGGGGCUGCUCCGGUGGGACUAAGAGAAUUGUGAGCUCUGCAAGAAAUGAGUGGGUAGUAGAAUUAAAGAUCAGAUAGAUGUUCGGCUCAAGGGCAGUCUCAACUCUGAAGUUCAUCACAGCAAUUUAAUCAGGCUCAAACGAGUGUUGCCCAGAAAAGAAUCAGCCUUGGGUGUGACAGAAAAUAGAGUGUAUUUAAAAGAGUCUUUUGUUUCUGGUAAUUCUGUGCGCUGAGGCUUCCCAGGUAGACACAAAGAUGAGCGAGCUGCUACGUUUGCUAGGGCAUGGCCCGCGGGUUUUACCUUGGUUCAGAAAAUGAAAUCUGGCGAAGAUGUGUACAAGGUCAUGAUCUUAUCCAGAAGGAGCAUGCCACCUCUAAAGUUCCAGCUUUGAAAAUUUUCACAGAUGAAGGAGGCCAGGGACCGCCUUUGGCUGGAGCCAUCUGCUGCCCCCCUCUACUGUGAAAUUGUCUUGAUGUCAAAUGUUUGUGUGUCUUCGGGGAGAGCUGUAGAGCACAGCGGUAAAGAACUUGAGCUUUGGAGGGAGUCGCACCUGGGUUUGACUCCUAGCGCUUCACUUGCCAGCUGUGUGACCUUGAGCAAGUGGCAUCAACUGUCAGACCCAGAGUUUCUUACCUAUGAAGUGAGAAUGAUAAUUCCCACUUCACAGGAUUAUGGUGAGAAGUGAAUUAAAUGAAGCAAUAUAGGGAGUUCCUGAGGUCAUGGCCCAGCAGUAACCUGACUAGUAUCCAUGAGGAUGUGGGUUCGAUCCCUGACCUCGCUCAGUGGGUUAAGGAUCCGGCGUUGAAGUGAGCUGUGGUGUAGGUCCCAGACAUGGUUGGAUCCCGUGUUGCUGUGGCUGUCGUGUAGGCUGGCAGGUACAGUUCCCAUUCAACCCCUAGCCUGGGAACUUCCAUCUACUGUGGAUGUGGUCCUAAAAAGAGAAGCAGUAUGUAUCAGUUUAUCACAGUGUCUGCACAUAAUAUGUGCUCGGUAAAUGGUACAUACUUGAAGCUUUAGGACUCUCAUCAUCUUGUUCCUCCCUCACUUCCCUCUUAUGUACACCCUUCGUAAGCCAGAGAGUUCACUGCUUAGGAGUCAAGGUAGACCUUUGAGAGCAUCUGUACAUUCAGAAGUGGAAACAGAGCAGACUACAAACAUCUGGAGGCUUGGGCAGCUGAUUGGUUAUCAAGAGACCAAACAAAAUCACACCCUCCCCACCCCACACACCAGCACAGUCAGGGUCUGUUAGAUUGCCACAUCAUUAGCCAGUGUUUCAGUUUUACGCAUAUGACAAGAAUCAGUUUUUCUUCUCUGUUCCUCUCCAGCUCUUAAGUUUGUUUACUCAGUAAAGUAUAAGGUAUUUUUGUCUAACUGAUACAGUUUCAAAAGAAUAUAGUAACUAUAUUAGGUGUUUUCCUUUCCACUUCAGGGAUCUCUGUAUGUCUGUAGUCUUGAUUGUAUCCUUACAAUUGUGUCUGUAUCUGUGUGUGUGUGUAGGGGAGGAAGGGAGAAAGAGAGAAUGAAUGAAUAAGAAUGAGAACUGAGAGCCAAAUUAUCAGCUUUAUUGAUUUCUGGGUAAACACCCAGUAAUUCCUAAAAUGCAGGGCACUCAGGCAAAAGCCAGAUUGGAAGGGCUACCAAGAUCCUUUUAAAGUGGAGCCUCCUAAUGGUCUGCCCAUAAUUUAUAGCCUGGGCCCCACAGAGCACUUGCGAGCCAGCUCCAUGGAUCAGGAACGCAGACCCCCCCCUAAUCUGUGCGGCACCUGCAGUCCGGAGAUACACAGGUCUAGAGAAGGGACCGCUUACCGUAAAGAAAUCACACCUACUCUUCAGGUGGCCCAGUGACGGCCGCCUCUGACAUCCAUGGGGAAAUGCAAAAGAGACAGUGAGAGCUGAAGAAAGUUUCUUCUUCUCCCUGGUUAAGGUGAGAAGGUGAGAAGAAGUCCAUAGAAAAGACAUUCCAUACAACAGAUCAUGGCCCACAGUUUGAAAACCUGAAAGAUACAAGUAACAGGACACUUGUGGAUUCCUGGCUUCAUACGAAGAAGAAGAACAUCAUGGUCUAUAUUAGUAUUAAAAUCUACUGUGCAGUUUCUAUCACAGUUACCUAAUGUGGUUAUUUUGCUUAAAUUACUAUUUGUUCAGUGCUUUGAAGAGUCACAGUAACGUCUCAGAACAUGUGUAUAUCAUAUUAACAAACAAACCGUGUCAGUUAAGUGUUUAAAGGCUGUUCUAUUCUGCCACUGGUACAGAGGAACUAUUCAAGGGUAGACUGUUACCUAAAGCUUGGGUUUCAUUGAGGAAGCUCGUGCGGCUGUCUGUUUUAUUUACUGCUCUUUCACCCCACCCCCAAAACCACCACCAACAAACAGAACAAACACCAUAGGAGAGAAAUUGAUUGAUUAAUUGAUUUAGGUUGCCCAUGACCCUUGGGGCUUGCGUUGUUUCAGAAAGUGCACUUCAGCACCAAAAGAGGAUUGCAAAAUCAUAGGAUUUUAGAUCUGAGAGUGAUUUUAGAAAUCACCCCAUUUCACAAAAAGCGUUUGAUUUUUCUCAUGGACUUUGGACUGUGACUUUGAAGAGGGAAGCUCAGUAAAUAUUAUCCUCAGGGUACAGGAUCAAGACCACGACACUUACCGAGUUUAGCUGGUGGAAGUAAUGAACCAUUAUGAGGAGGGCUUUUGUGGAGGAGAAGGAAAGGCAUACAGAAAAGAAUAAAAUAUAGAGAAUUACUUCUUCUGCACCAAACGACUCUACUCUGACAUAUAUCAGCUUUCAGUAUCCCCAUAGAUAUUUUGCUGGAAUUGCUACCUCUUUAAACAUUUAUGCUAUUAAAAAAUCAGACCAAUUGUUGACAUAAACCUAACAUAGCAGCUGCUAUAUAGAUAGAAUAUGAAUUUUUUAUGCUAUUGAGGAGAAGUUUAUGUCAUUUAUGUUCUGUAGUAAGGGUAGAAGAUGGAUUUUGAAUCCUGAAAAAGCUACUGUUGGUACCAUUCAGAAUAUUAGCUGUGCUUUGAAUCAAAAUAUUAAGAUGGCUGUAUUGUCUGUGUGUGUGUGUUUGUGCAAAAUGGUGUAUCUAUGUGUGGAAUGGGAGAAAUUGCUCUACCUAGAGAAAGUAGUGAUAGUUUUCUUUUGUUUCUCUGUGUGUGUGUGUGUGUGUGUAAAAGGAAGAAUUGAUAACAUUUAAUAUUUGAUUUAUCUGCCCUUUCCUUCACCAUCAAAAGGAAUUAACGGUUGCAGUGAUAAAACCAUACUUCAUCUAAUUGAAGGUGCCAUCAGUGGCAAGAUACAACAUUAUUUUAUGUACCGCUAAGAAUAUAUACUGACAAUUAAACUGACAUGCCAUCGAUUUGAAGAUGGAUUUCAGUUUCAGAGAUGUUGAAAUGUGUAAAUAAGGUAUCUUAGAGUUGAUGAAAUGGCAUAUGCAAUUCUCUUGUGAUAUAUUUGUCUGCAUAGACAAAGUGUGCUUGCAUUUGGUUAUAUUCUGUAGCAUUUUGAAUCAUUUCUACUUAGUUAGAUUUUAUUUAUCUUUUAAAUUUGCAAUUAAUAUUUGUUUGACACAAUUAUUUUAAUAUGGCCUGAAUUUGGGAUCUUUGCUCAAAAGAAUCAUUUGGACAGCUCCUUCCUCAAGAUUUCAAAAGAGAAGGAGGAGUUCCUGUCAUGACUCAGUAGUAACGAACCUGACUAAUAACCAUGAGGACAUGGGUUCAUUCCCUGUCCUCAUUCAGUGGGUUAAGCAUCCAGCGUUGCCGCGAGCUCUGGUGUAGGUCACAGACGCAGCUCAGAUCUCACGUUGCUGUGGCUGUGGUGUAGGCUGGCAGCUGUAAAUCCAAUUUGACCCCCAGCCUGGGAACUUCCUUAUGCCGCAGGUGCAGCCCUAAAAGAAAGUAAGAGCAUUUAUUUUCAGGAAAAAAAGAAAAAACUACAAAAUAAAAAACAAAGGGAGAGCUGAGUGAUCUUAAUUAGGAGCUGGCCGACUGCUGUCUUUAAUUCUCUAAGAGCCUCUGCUUGUUUAUCAAAAUCCAUUAGUUUAUCUGAUUGCAUAGUUAAGAGUUCUAGCAUGGUGUCUCUCAAAAGUGAAUACUCUGAAAACCAGAAGACUAGAGUGGCUAAUAAUGUAUUGUAUCCGGAAGUUCACUAAGAAAAUAAAUUGCAGGUGUGCUCACCACACACAGAUACAAACGCAUAUAAUGGUAACUGCGGGAGGAGAGGAUUAUGUCAACGAGCUUGACUGUAGUGGGAAUGAUUUCACUAUGUAUAUGUAUAUUAAAGCAUGUGUAUACCUGAAAUAUGUAGUUUUAUUAAAAGGUAAAAUCAAUAAAAUAUACUCAUUAUAAGACAAAACCAAAACAACUAACAAUGCAUAUAACAAUAAUGCAUGUUGGAGUUCCCGUCGUGGCUCAGUGGUUUACGAGUCUGACAGAACCAUGAGGUUGCAGGUUCAAUCCCUGUCCUCACUCAGUGGGUUAAGGAUCGGGCAUUGCCACGAGCUGUGGUGUAGGUCGCAGACGCCGCAGCUGGGAUCCCACAUUGCUGUGGCUCUGGCUAUAGCUUCGAUUGGACCCCUAGCCUGGGAACCUCCAUAUGCCACAGCAGCGGCUCUAGAAAAGGCAAGACAAAAACAAAAACAAAAAACAAAAAAAACCCGCAGAAAACAAUAAUGCAUGUCAUCUAUUAAGUGCUCAAUAAAUUAUGGACAUUUUUCCAUGUUAGUACCUUUCUCCAUAGUAAUUUUUGGAUACUGCCUAGGAUACCAUUGUAUGAUAAAACGUAAUUUUUAAUCAUUUCCUUCUUUAUGAACAUUGAGGUUAUUUGUAGUUUUUCAUUUUAGUAACACGGUUGCCAUGAAUAUCCUUGUACUUUCUGUCACCGUUUAUCCUGUAAUCAUUUUAGGAUCAAUUCCUAGGCUCUUACUUGCUCGAGCAGAGGCUAUGAGUAUUUGACUAGCAUUAUGUAUGUUGGGAAGGGACCAUUCCCUCAUACAGUCGCCAAUUCAGGGUAUCAGCAGUCCUCCCCUCCCCCAUCUCUGCCCACUUGAUUGAUUGGGGGGGAAUCUCUUUUUCCUUUUAUUAGCAUUUAAAAAAUUAUAGUUAAGGUUGACGACCAUGUUUUUCGCCUUUUCCGAGUAGUUCUUGGUAAGGAAAAGCAUGGAGGGCCCGGAAGAGAGCGAAAGGUCUUGAAGGACUUGACACUGUUUCACAGAAUCCUCCUGGUCUUUGAGGAAAUGUUGCCAAGUUCCUUAAAGUAGAUAAAACUGAUCAAAACAGUGCUGCUGUGGAGAUUAGAUAAGGCGCCCUCACGCUUAGUCUACUACCCAGGGCUGAAACCAAAGACUCAUUGCACCUGAAAGCCCCCUGAGAUUCAACAGGCUCAGGCUUGUUUGGGACAAACACAAAGAAAAACUAUAGAUUCCUGACUGCUUUCUGUGAUGCAGGGAGAAGGAGAGGGCAAAAGAGGCUUUUUUCUGGACGGAAUUCCCGUCGUGGCUCAGUGGUUAGCGAAUCCAACUGGGAACCAUAAGGUUGCGGGUUCGAUCCCUGGCCCCACUUAGUGGGUUAAGGAUCCGGCGUUGCCGUGAGCUGUGGUGUAAGUUGCUGAGCUGUGGUGUAAGUUGCAGACGCGGCUCAGAUUCCACAUUGCUGUGGUUGUGCCGUAGCAGCUCCAAUUCGACCCCUACUUAGCCAUGUGCCGUGGGAGAGGCCCAAGAAAUGGCAAAAAAAAAAAAAAAAAAAAAAAAAA